Molecule: ribosomal RNA, 496 nt
Filed under: uncultured bacterium
Lineage: Bacteria
Description: partial 16S ribosomal RNA
Rfam family: Bacterial small subunit ribosomal RNA
Source: RNAcentral
AUGAACGCUGGCGGCGUGCCUAAUACAUGCAAGUCGAGCGAACGGACGAGAAGCUUUCUUCUCUGAUGUUAGCGGCGGACGGGUGAGUAACACGUGGAUAACCUACCUAUAAGACUGGGAUAACUUCGGGAAACCGGAGCUAAUACCGGAUAAUAUUUUGAACCGCAUGGUUCAAAAGUGAAAGACGGUCUUGCUGUCACUUAUAGAUGGAUCCGCGCUGCAUUAGCUAGUUGGUAAGGUAACGGCUUACCAAGGCAACGAUGCAUAGCCGACCUGAGAGGGUGAUCGGCCACACUGGAACUGAGACACGGUCCAGACUCCUACGGGAGGCAGCAGUAGGGAAUCUUCCGCAAUGGGCGAAAGCCUGACGGAGCAACGCCGCGUGAGUGAUGAAGGUCUUCGGAUCGUAAAACUCUGUUAUUAGGGAAGAACAUAUGUGUAAGUAACUGUGCACAUCUUGACGGUACCUAAUCAGAAAGCCACGGCUAACUACGUG